CAAUAGCGUAUAUUAAAGUUGUUGCAGUUAAAAAGCUCGUAGUUGGAUUUCGGGGUGGCCUGCCUGGUCCACCGCAAGGUGAGUACUGGUCAGCCGCCCUUCCUCUCGAAAGCCCCGACUGCUCUUCAUUGCAGUGGUCGGGUAGUUCGGGACGUUUACUUUGAAAAAAUUAGAGUGUUCAAGGCAGGCUAUCGCCUGAAUACAUUAGCAUGGAAUAAUGGAAGAGGACCUCGGUCCUAUUUUGUUGGUUUCUAGGGCCGAAGUAAUGAUUAAGAGGGACAGUUGGGGCAUUUGUAUUUCGUCGCUAGAGGUGAAAUUCUUAGAUUGACGAAGGACAAACUGCUGCGAAAGCGUCUGCCAAGGAUGUUUUCAUUGA
Molecule: ribosomal RNA, 376 nt
Filed under: uncultured eukaryote
Lineage: Eukaryota
Description: partial 18S ribosomal RNA
Rfam family: Eukaryotic small subunit ribosomal RNA
Source: RNAcentral